GAAAACAAUAGGAAGGCAUAUUUUGGUCCUAGAAAAUCUGUAUUCCUCCUAAGUAAAACCUUAGCACCAGAUUUUGUGGUGACAGAAAACAGCCAUAGGUGAGUUCAUAGUGCCCUGAAUUCCAGAGGGAACCCCCUGCCAAAUACCAUGAGGGCAGAUCAAGAGCGUUCUGUUGACUUUGGGAAUGUGUCCCAGCACAUCCUCCUUUCCUUUUAUUUUAAGAUUCCUUGUGAGAGAUGCUGUUAAGGCAGACUUGCUCAUAAGCCACAAAUGCCAUGGCCUUGUGCUGUCAACUAACUCCCCAGGAAUUAGUUCCCCCCAUCUCCCAUCACCCGUGCGCCUCAGCCAUCAGCCCAGAAAUAAGGCAGAGUAUGCUGAGCGAUUCUGUGGAGGAGAAAGAGUACACUGGUCUGAUCGGGAAAAGGAGGACAGAACGGAGGGGAAAGGAAGGACAGCAGGCCAUUGGUCUAUAGAGGAGGCGCUGCCGGUGUGUUCCAGCACCCACAUUCCCACACGGAGGAAAUGUCUUCCAGAAUGUCCACAGUCGAGCUGUAUUUCAUUCAUGCUGCGAUCUACUCUUGGUGAUACCCACAGUCCUUCCUUAGAGAUUCAGGACCAACCAGCAAUACUGAAGGGCCAAGAGUUCAC
Molecule: long non-coding RNA, 648 nt
Filed under: Chinchilla lanigera (long-tailed chinchilla)
Lineage: Eukaryota; Metazoa; Chordata; Mammalia; Rodentia; Chinchillidae
Description: lncRNA (ENSCLAG00000024069.1)
Source: RNAcentral